This 495-nucleotide ribosomal RNA is filed under the name uncultured bacterium. RNAcentral's name for it is "partial 16S ribosomal RNA". It matches the Rfam family "Bacterial small subunit ribosomal RNA", at positions 28 to 507 of the family's 1533-position model. The record is from RNAcentral.
GACGAACGCUGGCGGCGUGCCUAAUACAUGCAAGUCGAACGCUGAAGGAGGAGCUUGCUUCUCUGGAUGAGUUGCGAACGGGUGAGUAACGCGUAGGUAACCUGCCUGGUAGCGGGGGAUAACUAUUGGAAACGAUAGCUAAUACCGCAUAAGAGUAGAUGUCGCAUGACAUUUUCUUAAAAGGUGCAAUUGCAUCACUACCAGAUGGACCUGCGUUGUAUUAGCUAGUUGGUGAGGUAACGGCUCACCAAGGCAACGAUACAUAGCCGACCUGAGAGGGGGAUCGGCCACACUGGGACUGAGACACGGCCCAGAAUCCUACGGGAGGCAGCAGUAGGGGAUCUUCGGCAAUGGACGGAAGUCUGACCGAGAAACGCCGCGUGAGUGCAGAAGGGUGUCGGAUCGUAAAGCUCUGUUGUAAGAGAAGAACGAGUGUGAGAGUGGAAAGUUCACACUGUGACGGUAUCUUACCAGAAAGGGACGGCUAACUACGUG